AUCGGCGCGCGCAGCUGCCGUCGCGGAGAGAUGAUGUUUAGGUCUGGGACUGUCAGGCAGUGAGCGGCCAGGUACCCGCCGAGGGGCCCGCGGGGCCGGCGCCGCCAUGGCGGCCGUGUUUGAUUUGGAUUUGGAGACGGAGGAAGGCAGCGAGGGCGAGGGCGAGCCAGAGCUCAGCCCCGCGGACGUGUGUCCCCUUGCUGAGUUGAGGGCAGCUGGCCUAGAGCCUGUGGGACACUACGAAGAGGUGGAGCUGACUGAGACCAACGUGAACCUUGGCCCAGAGCGCAUCGGGCCCCACUGCUUUGAGCUGCUUCGUGUGCUGGGCAAGGGGGGCUAUGGCAAGGUGUUCCAGGUGCGAAAGGUGCAAGGCACCAACUUGGGCAAAAUAUAUGCCAUGAAAGUCCUAAGGAAGGCCAAAAUUGUGCGCAACGCCAAGGACACAGCACACACACGGGCUGAGCGGAACAUUCUAGAGUCAGUGAAGCACCCCUUUAUUGUGGAACUGGCCUAUGCCUUCCAGACUGGUGGCAAACUCUACCUCAUCCUUGAGUGUCUCAGUGGUGGCGAGCUCUUCACGCAUCUGGAGCGAGAGGGCAUCUUCCUGGAAGAUACGGCUUGCUUCUACCUGGCGGAGAUCACGCUGGCCCUGGGCCAUCUCCACUCGCAGGGCAUCAUCUACCGGGACCUCAAGCCCGAGAACAUCAUGCUCAGCAGCCAGGGCCACAUCAAACUGACCGACUUUGGACUCUGCAAGGAGUCGAUCCAUGAGGGUGCCGUCACUCACACCUUCUGCGGCACCAUUGAGUACAUGGCCCCUGAGAUUCUGGUGCGCAGUGGCCACAACCGGGCUGUGGACUGGUGGAGCCUGGGGGCCCUGAUGUACGACAUGCUCACUGGAUCGCCGCCCUUCACUGCAGAGAACCGGAAGAAAACCAUGGAUAAGAUCAUCAAGGGCAAGCUGGCGCUGCCCCCCUACCUCACCCCAGAUGCCCGGGACCUUGUCAAAAAGUUUCUGAAACGGAAUCCCAGCCAGCGGAUUGGGGGUGGCCCAGGGGAUGCUGCUGAUGUGCAGAGACAUCCCUUUUUCCGGCACAUGAAUUGGGACGACCUUCUGGCCUGGCGUGUUGACCCCCCUUUCAGGCCCUGUCUGCAGUCAGAGGAGGACGUGAGCCAGUUUGAUACCCGCUUCACACGGCAGACGCCGGUGGACAGUCCCGAUGACACGGCCCUCAGCGAGAGUGCCAACCAGGCCUUCCUAGGCUUCACGUACGUGGCGCCGUCUGUCCUGGACAGCAUCAAGGAGGGCUUCUCCUUCCAGCCCAAGCUGCGCUCACCCAGGCGCCUCAACAGUAGCCCCCGGGCCCCCAUCAGGCCGCAUGGGGACCUGCUCUGGGCUGGAUACCUCUCCACAUCGCUGCUCGCCUUCCCCAGGGUCAGCCUGCAGGCCACCAUCCGCGACGUUGUCAUAGUCUGCAUCCUGCUCAUCCUCCUGUCGCUCAAGGCUGUCCGCCCAGGUUCCAGGAAUGCAAGUUCCCGCUCACAGGAAGACCAGGUAAGGGCCUUCCCAGGGCUCCUGACGGGGGCCUGGUCCGGUAAGGGGUGCUGGGGGCCAUGCCCGGAGUCCCAGGGAGCCCAGCUCAGGUGAGAGAAAGGUCCAGCCUCUGCCAUACUCCUCUUAGGUCUCACCUCUUCCUUGGGGCCAGUGUGGGGCCCUCCUCAGCUCCACAGGCCCAGACAUUCUAGCCCCGACCGCCUGUGGCCCCCAUCCCAAGAACCCAGGGGGCUCCGAGGCUCACCAUUGGUCCGCAGGCCCCUCCGCGCCGGGCACCCACCUCCAGCUCUGGCUGUGUUGAGCGAGAAGUGAGCUCAGUGCUCGUCUGCAGUGAAGGGUGGCCCGGGCUUCCGCUUCCUGCCCACAUACCCCACCUACCCCUCCCUGCUGCAGGACCCCUGGUCCACACCAGACCCUCCCCAGUCUCUCUGGAGGAGGCUAGGCUGCCGGGCCUGUCCUCCAAGGGAGAAGCAGCACCAACUUGAAGCUGGAUGCAGCCUUGCAUGUGUUCUCAGGUCUUCUGCCUCAGUUUCCCUGCCUGACAAUCCAGGGGAACAAUGUCUGUGGGGUUGCUCACUGCCCCGAGACCGUCUGCACAUGUGUGACUCCUGUGACAUCAUCUGUCUCCAGGUUUCCAGACUUCUCAGCCCCACCCUUGCAGCGGCAGGUCAGCCUGACUUUUAGAAAGAGAAUUUUAUUUGGAAUGAAAAUAUAGAGCCCACCCUCCUGCCUCCUCUGGGGAGGGAGCAGAGGGCUGGGCAGUGGCCGGGGAGAUGGUCCCUCAGAGGUCGAGGAGCUCGCCUGGGCAUAGACAUCCUCCACAGGAACAGUGAGGAAAGCUGGGCGCUGGCUUUGGCCUGGGCCUGGGAUGGGUCGGGGUGGGAACUGACCCCUGCGCUGCUCGGAGGCUCUGGGCAGCCAGCUAGCCCGGUGCAACCCGCUGGCAGAAGCUGAGUGGGAAGGGGGCGGAGGAGGACAUGAAGGUGGCGCGUGGCUGUGGCCCUACGCAUCCCCAUUCUCCAUGCGGCCCAGCUGCUCCUCCAGGCGGCAGAUGCGCUCCCCCUGCUCCUUGACUAGCGCCCUCAGGGCCCGCAGCUCCUGCAUCACCUCCUCCAGCUUCCCAGCCUCCUGUGGGGACAUGAAGCAGGGGUAGGGGGUGGUGGUCAGGGGCUGCUAAGCCAUAGCCCUCCCAAACCCACCACUACCCCAGAGAGGGAGAGCGAAUGGCCCAGGCCCACACAGCAGGCCAGGACCACACGUUGGGCUCCCAGCACCACCCCUGCCUGCGCGUGCAUACCCCAGCUCUGGCCAGGCUGCCGCUGGGGGUGGCAUCAGCAGCAGUGGUAGUGGAUGCAGGGGCCCCUAGGCGGGAGGAGCCCGGGGCCAUGGCGGGCCGGCUGUCAGACAACACGUUGCGCCGGCUGAUCUUCAGGUCCCGCUGCUUGCUGGGCACGUAGGCCUCCCUCAGUGAGAUGAGGAUCGGGUGGGCAUCCCGCCCACUCACCCACUCCUCAGCCUCCAGGGCUGCCUCAGGCCCGGCUGUGUCGGGGUACAGAUCAUCCUGGAAGAGGUCCGACUGGGCAGGGGGCCGGGGAGAUCAGGAUCAAUUAGGAGGCCCCAUCAGGGUCCCCUCGUCCCUCCCCUGGCCUCCAGGCUUGCGCUCUGUUAACCCAUUCUCCCACGGCCUGGCCCCGAGGGGCCUUUCGAAAGCUCAGAUCUGGCCUUGCACUUCCCAUCUGGACACCAUCAACAGCUCCCUCAGAAGCUCUCCCACCCUUCUGAGCAAGGCCCCUGUCAUUACCUUCCCCUGCAAACCACAGGGGCCACUAUGUGGCUUUGUGGGAUUCUGGGGCCCAUGGACUGUGAGCUCCUGGAGCAGGCCCUAUCAGCUCAGCUCCACUCCCCGAAAUGUGCCUGGCAUGUUGAAAGAGCAGUCGGCAAAUGCUGGCCAGAGAAUCAUGGAAGUGUGUCCGAGGCUCUUGGCAUCUGAAGCCAAGCCGCAUGUGGCCUGGUCCCCUCUUCAUGGGAUUCCCCACUGCAGCCAGACUCCAUGUUCCUCUCUCCAUUCCCACCACUGUGCCCUUCGCCUGGCCUGCCCCCAGUGGAUGGUGCCACCCCAGCUGUGCUUUGGGUCCUGCCUCCUUCAGGAAGAUCUCCGUGGCUGCCACUCCCUCCCUGACUGCCUGGUGUCCUUCUCCUGUGGCUCAUCCAGAGCAGGGUACCUGCUCACCCUGUGUCUCAUCCCCACUUGCCCCCUGACUGGCACAUCCCAACAGCUGGCUGGUACAAGGGCAAGCUGGCAUCUGUCCAGCUCACUGCCCACAAACCAUACUAGGUCAUGUUCCAUUCACAGGCCUCGUCCUGGUCACAACUGCAUGGCGUGCUUGCUGGAGAAAGGGCCAAGUGAGCAGAGGGACGGGCGGCCUCACCUUUCUUGGCACAGUCAUGACGAUGGGCUCACACUUGCGCUCAUGCAGUUUGUAGAACCUGGGGAUGCGAGGAGGAGCCAUGGGUGGAACCCUCACCGCCCCCCUACCCACCGCCAGCUCUCCUGGCAUCCUCCACUUCCAGUCCUCACCUCAGGACCUCCGCAGGCUGACCCCUAAGGUGGCUAGACCCCCACCCAGGCUGCCUCGUGACAGUUCCCAUGGCCUGCCGGGCCUCCCUGGCACAAGGUUUCCUGCUCCCAAGCAGCCUCCAAUGACCUGACCUCUCACCUUAGAUGCCCCUGUCCCCGAGUGGCCUCUGUAGCCCUCUUACCGGGCUAUCUCGCACUUGCUGACCUCCAGGCCCCGCUUGGGCAUGCUGCCCAUACCCCGCUGCGGCUCCUUGCUGGUGAAUGUGUUCAGGAAGUGGAUGUAGGGGGGCUCCUCUGUGAUCUCAAAGUACCGGAUGCUGGAGUCACCCUGUGUGGGGAGGGGGCUCAGCACCCGGGCACGCCUCUUCCCUGCCCCUCACCAGCCCUGCCCAGCCCCACCUUGCCACAGACGUAGACCACACUUGUGUCGGGGUCGUAGAAGGGCAGCAGGGCCCCGUUGCUCGAGUCCAGUUCCUGCAGGGCCAUGGGUUCCUCGAGGUUUUCCUGGCACAUUGGGGGCAGUCAGGCCAAGCAGAACCUCCUCACCCCCUAAUCCCAAACCAGGAUGGGUCUUAGCUGGCCUCACUAAGGCCAGCCAGCACUGCCCCUAAAUGCAGGUGGGCCCUCUGCCACCUCUAUGCCUUUUCCCACACGACGACCCCCACCUGGCCCUCCUAGCUUCACUUUAUUCCCAAGGUCCCUCUUUUCCAGCCUCCUCCAGGCCUUAAGACUAUGCCCAGGCCACUGGGCAAGUGCUGAAACAUACCCCACCAUGGGGAGCUGGGGUGCCAGUGGCACCAGCCCCUGCUCAAGGGGCCCUGGAGGUCACUGCAGAAGCAGAGAGGGCUGGUGGAGAGGAUGCUUCAGGGCAGGGCCAGGAGGCUCGCUGGAGGAGGAGGCUUUCUGGAGGAGCUGGGAGCCCUUCACAGGCAGUGGGUGGUACAGGCAAGCAAGGGAGAGAAGGGCCCUCCCACUGGCAUGAACAACAUGGGCAAAGACACGGAGGCAGUGGGAGGCCAUGGGGGAGUGGCGGGGCAGUCGGGCGAGCAGGGGGCAAGAGAGGAAAGUCUGACAGAGUCCCAGGCCCUGAGAGACUCAAGUGCCAGGCAGAGAACCUAGGAACCACAGGCCUCCCCAGGGUGAACUCUGCCUGCCCGGCCCAGGGUGGGGCCCAAGUCUCAAGUUUGCCCCCUCAGGCUGGCCACUCACUGGGUCCCAGAGCGCCAGCUGUCGCUCGCUCAUUCGGCUGAAGCCCGUGGUGAACACCUUGCCAUCUGCCAGGAAGAUGGCCCGCAUGGGCCGGGCCCCCUCAUGAGCCUUCUCCCGCUCCUGUCGGGGGGGACAGGCUGGUCAGUGCAGCGCCCUGUUCAAGGCCCUGGGCCUAUCCACAGCCAUCCUUGCCCUCCAGGGCCACGUACUGCCACCAGGGUGCCCCGACGGGGGUCGAUGAUGCGCACGCUCUUGUCCUUGCACGCUGAGCAAAACAGGCUGCCGUUGCGGUUCCAGCUGACGUUGUAGAUGAGGUCAGGGUGCAGGCUGUCCAGGCGGUACAGCUCCUCCGCUGUGCCCACGUUCCAAAUGAGUACCACGUUGUCGCAGCCUGGCAGGUGAGGGCUGUCAGCUCGGGCCGAGCGGGUGGCAGGAGGCCAUUAGCUCACCAGGCUGAGGCCCAUUCUGCCCACCACCCUGGGACAGACGGGUCUCUCUAACUCUGAGGGCCUCAGCUUUCCCAUCUGUCAUGUGGGCCCUGGAGAGGCUGCUGGGAUGUAUGGAGGGGUCCGUGGGGAGGGGGACAAAAUGGGGGGUGGUGCAGACCUGCACUGAGCAGCACGUUUCGGGCCGUGGGGUGCCAGGCGAUGAUGCCCACUCGCUUGGUGUGCCCCUCCAGUACCACCACCGGCUCUGUCAGCGGGGAGGUCAGCCCGUUCUCUGGGAUCUGCCACACCUGUGGUAGGGACAAGGCCACCGAGCUCAGUCCUCUGCUAGUCCUAUGGCUGGCCCCCUUGGGCCAUGCCCGUGACCCUGGCCCAGCCAGUCCUGUGCCUCACCAUGACCGUGCAGUCCUCCGAGCCGCUGGCUAUGACUUCGUCGUUGUGGGGACACCAAUCGAUGUCCAGGACAGGUCCCGUGUGCCCGCACACUGUCGGGUAGGCCUUGUCAAUGCGGCCCGUCUGUGGGCACGAGGGGGCAGUCAGGGGGCUCCAUCCCUCCCGGAGCCUUGGUUUUCCCCUCCAUGGAGUGAGAAUGACAUGCAAGUCCCGGCUCACAGGUGGCCCAGAUGUGACUGUGCCCCACUUGCCAGGUGAGCAGGAAAUGUUUGCUGCCUCUAACCCUGACUCUAUGGCAACAGGCCACUCUCCAUUUGUGCUAACACUUGGGGCAAUAAAUCUGGGUUAUAACGCCUGCCCACCAGUGUGAGAAAUGGCAAGAUGACGGUUUCAAGGUGCGCACAAAGGCCCAGCAGGGGUGGCCGAGGUGCCUCCUCUUCCCCCAACCCUGACAGGACCCACCUUGCUUAGGGGGAGCACCAGAAAGGCACCCCCUCCACUGGCCUCCACGAUCACCGCCAGGAACUUGGGGUUGACGGCGCAGAAGGUGCUGUCCCAGGUAACACGGGACACGCGAAUGUCCUCAUAGCACUGGUCGUUCUUGACCGGCUGCCCGAACACAUGCCGGAAUUUGCUCUGCCGGACCACUUUGCGGAAGGACAUGUCUGCGGGACAGAGAGGCCUGGGUCAGUCCAGCCCAUCCCAACAACUCCAGCCCUCCCUAGGCUGCUGAAGUGGCAUCCGCAGGAGUCUUCAGGAUUGGGUGAGGCCCCGCCUUCCCGUCCCCCGACCGAACGCACACCUCCAAGGGGCCCCAUUACCGCCCCCAACAAAUAAAUGUGGAAUCUACACAGACA
Symphalangus syndactylus (siamang) is the source of this 7038-nucleotide RNA transcript. It is a transcript of the gene named ribosomal protein S6 kinase B2, with no coding region annotated. NCBI's taxonomy places the organism in Eukaryota, Metazoa, Chordata, Mammalia, Primates, Hylobatidae. The record is from RefSeq and is a predicted model, not a curated record.